GAGUUUGAUCAUGGCUCAGAUUGAACGCUGGCGGCAUGCCUUACACAUGCAAGUCGAACGGCAGCACGGGAGCUUGCUCCUGGUGGCGAGUGGCGAACGGGUGAGUAAUGCAUCGGAACGUAUCCUGGAGUGGGGGAUAACGUAGCGAAAGUUACGCUAAUACCGCAUAUUCUGUGAGCAGGAAAGCGGGGGACCUUCGGGCCUCGCGCUCUUGGAGCGGCCGAUGUCGGAUUAGCUAGUUGGUGAGGUAAAGGCUCACCAAGGCGACGAUCCGUAGCAGGUCUGAGAGGAUGAUCUGCCACACUGGAACUGAGACACGGUCCAGACUCCUACGGAGGCAGCAGUGGGGAAUUUUGGACAAUGGGGGCAACCCUGAUCCAGCCAUGCCGCGUGAGUGAAGAAGGCCUCGGUUG
Molecule: ribosomal RNA, 413 nt
Filed under: bacterium enrichment culture clone ALO1_GLFRUDD03GS1NV
Lineage: Bacteria
Description: bacterial SSU rRNA
Rfam family: Bacterial small subunit ribosomal RNA
Source: RNAcentral